GUAGCUGUAGCUCAGUAGUAGAGCACUUGCCUAGCAUGCGUGAGACACUGGGUUCGAUCCUCAGCACCACA
Molecule: transfer RNA, 71 nt
Filed under: Ictidomys tridecemlineatus (thirteen-lined ground squirrel)
Lineage: Eukaryota; Metazoa; Chordata; Mammalia; Rodentia; Sciuridae
Description: Spermophilus tridecemlineatus (thirteen-lined ground squirrel) tRNA
Rfam family: tRNA
About the family: Transfer RNA (tRNA) molecules are approximately 80 nucleotides in length.
Source: Rfam by way of RNAcentral